UUGCCUGGUCUGUAUCAAAAGACAGAAUCUUGAUGACUAAGACAUUUUCUUUGGUACCUACAAGAAGGAUCCAGCUCUCUACUUCUAUCAACUCCUGGAUGACUACAAGAAAGGGAACCUCCACAUCAUUCCAGAAACUCCUCUGGCUGAGGAGAGAUCAGGAGAUGACAGUGAUGUGUUGAUAGAGAGAGACAUCAUGGCCUCCAUGCAGAGGAAUGUGUGGAUGGACAUAUAUUUAAGGAAGACACUAAACCAGAAAAUACCACAUUACACCCUCUUAAAAGACUUCUAAGAUUGUUGUCAUGCCUACCACAGACAUUCAGAUGAUGUGUAUUCUUGAUUGUGAUUUCAUGUUUGGAGCUGAUGAAGGAGAAAGUACCUGGAAUGUCCUAGAAUUCUCAAGACCCAGGAGAUGAACAUAUGCCUGAGAAGAAGAACUAGUGUGGAACUGUCAGCCAGGUUUUUGAUGAGUGCUCAGACUGCUUCCUGAUCCGGCACCACAUUUACUAUAGUGGACAGAUGCUCUAGUCUCUGAUGAGGAGUUGCUAGCUGUUAGGAAAAACCUGGAAUGGGCUCCACUGCAUGAGGUUUGAAGUCUCCAGAGCAGCAAAGAGAGUGGGGAGUAGAACUCAUCAUCUUUAGGUCACUCAACAUC
Molecule: long non-coding RNA, 655 nt
Filed under: Mus musculus (house mouse)
Lineage: Eukaryota; Metazoa; Chordata; Mammalia; Rodentia; Muridae
Description: predicted gene 28840
Source: RNAcentral